GCAAGUCGAGCGCUACCUUCGGAGUGAGCGGCGGACGGGUUAGUAACGCGUGGGAAUAUACCCGACACUAAGGAAUAGCCUCUGGAAACGGAGAGUAAUACCUUAUACGCCCUUCGGGGGAAAGAUUUAUCGGUGACGGAUUAGCCCGCGUUAGAUUAGAUAGUUGGUGGGGUAACGGCCUACCAAGUCGACGAUCUAUAGCUGGUUUGAGAGGAUGAUC
RNAcentral lists this ribosomal RNA (220 nucleotides) under uncultured bacterium. Its description in RNAcentral is "partial 16S ribosomal RNA". It matches the Rfam family "Bacterial small subunit ribosomal RNA", at positions 57 to 305 of the family's 1533-position model. The record is from RNAcentral.